GAUGAAGAACGUAGCGAAAUGCGAUAAGUAAUGUGAAUUGCAGAAUUCAGUGAAUCAUCGAAUCUUUGAACGCACAUUGCGCCCGCCAGUAUUCUGGCGGGCAUGCCUGUCUGAGCGUCAUUUCAACCCUCAUGCCCCUAGGGCGUGGUGUUGGGGAUCGGCCAAAGCCCGCGAGGGACGGCCGGCCCCUAAAUCUAGUGGCGGACCCGUCGUGGCCUCCUCUGCGAAGUAGUGAUAUUCCGCAUCGGAGAGCGAUGAGCCCCUGCCGUUAAACCCCCAACUUUCCAAGGUUGACCUCAGAUCAGGUAGGAAUACCCGCUGAACUUAAGCAUAUCAAUAAGCGGGGGA
RNAcentral lists this unclassified non-coding RNA (348 nucleotides) under soil metagenome. RNAcentral's name for it is "partial contains 5.8S ribosomal RNA, internal transcribed spacer 2, and large subunit ribosomal RNA". The stretch from base 1 to 120 matches the Rfam family "5.8S ribosomal RNA", at positions 35 to 154 of the family's 154-position model. The record is from RNAcentral.